This is a non-coding RNA of Rattus norvegicus (Norway rat), 72 nucleotides long. NCBI's taxonomy places the organism in Eukaryota, Metazoa, Chordata, Mammalia, Rodentia, Muridae. The record is from Rfam.
GGGGAUUUAACUCAGAGGUAGAGCGCUUGCCUAGCAAGCGCAAGGCCCUGGGUUCGAUCCCCAGCUCCCCCC